AACAAGACGGAAGAGAGUCACUCUUACCGUCGCGCAUACCAAAAGCGGGUCUGCCGCCUUCGUUUCUCUUUCUUCAGCGAAUGACUUUGACUUGCGCUCGCGCGCCGUACCGCACCCUUCGGGUGCUGGCGCUCCGCGAGGGCGCGGCACGAGCCGCGACGGCCGGUCGGCCUUGCGAGACGUGCGUCUCGUUGGCGAAAGCCGAUCAAAGGCGCAGUCUAAGGGCUUGUAGCUCAGUUGGUUAGAGCGCGCGCUUGAUAAGCGUGAGGUCGGAGGUUCAAGUCCUCCCAGGCCCACCAUCUCCUCGAUCACCAUGUUCGGGAAACACUAUCAGGGGCCGUAGCUCAGCUGGGAGAGCGCCUGCUUUGCAAGCAGGAUGUCGUCGGUUCGAUCCCGUCCGGCUCCACCAAUGACGCGCGAUCCGCAGGAUCGUCGCGGCGCGAUCGGUUAAGAUUGCUGCCUUGGUGUUGAGAGAGCGAGAAAAGUCAUUCGAAAAAGAGUUUGCGCCGAGCCUCUUGGCUCUGCGCCUGUUCUGUUUGACAUCGUAAAGAGAAGAUUUGUUCGAACUUCAUGGGUUCCGAAAGGGCCAUGAUUUGUCGCAAGGGACGCUCAAUCCCUUGCCUAUGAUGGGUUUGCCUAACCGCGCCCUCGAACCGAUCUCGAGAAGCUGGUCUUUUUGUG
This 681-nucleotide transfer RNA is filed under the name Mesorhizobium temperatum. RNAcentral's name for it is "partial 16S-23S ribosomal RNA intergenic spacer". The stretch from base 223 to 296 matches the Rfam family "tRNA". Lineage: Bacteria; Pseudomonadati; Pseudomonadota; Alphaproteobacteria; Hyphomicrobiales; Phyllobacteriaceae. The record is from RNAcentral.